RNAcentral lists this ribosomal RNA (606 nucleotides) under uncultured fungus. Its description in RNAcentral is "eukaryotic LSU rRNA". The stretch from base 196 to 349 matches the Rfam family "5.8S ribosomal RNA". Lineage: Eukaryota; Fungi. The record is from RNAcentral.
GUGACCUGCGGAGGGAUCAUUACAGAGUUGCAAAACUCCUAAACCCUUUGCGAACAUACCCGUAUCGUUGCUUCGGCGGGCAGUCCCCAAGGUGGGGCCGUCUACCUCUCUCCCUGCGGGAGGUGCCUGUCGGAGUCAUCAACAAAUUCUUGUAUCACUGUGGCAUCUCUGAGUAUCAUAUUUAUAAUAAGUCAAAACUUUCAACAACGGAUCUCUUGGUUCUGGCAUCGAUGAAGAACGCAGCGAAAUGCGAUAAGUAAUGUGAAUUGCAGAAUUCAGUGAAUCAUCGAAUCUUUGAACGCACAUUGCGCCUGCCAGUAUUCUGGCGGGCAUGCCUGUUCGAGCGUCAUUUUAACCUUCAAGCUCUGCUUGGUGUUGGGGUCCUACAGGUCUCUGUAGGCCAUGAAAACCAGUGGCGGGCUCACCACAGCUCCGAGCGUAGUACAUGUAUCUCGCUCAGGAAGCCGUGGUUAGCCCUAGCCGUAAAACACCCCAUCCGACUAACGCAAAGUUGACCUCGAAUCAUGCAGGAAUACCCGCUGAACUUAAGCAUAUCAAUAAGCGGAGGAACUUGACCUCCAAUCCGGCGGGACUACCCGCUGAACU